This 453-nucleotide ribosomal RNA is filed under the name uncultured bacterium. RNAcentral describes it as "partial 16S ribosomal RNA". It matches the Rfam family "Bacterial small subunit ribosomal RNA", at positions 29 to 507 of the family's 1533-position model. The record is from RNAcentral.
AUGAACGCUGACAGAAUGCUUAACACCUGCAAGUCAACUUGAACUUCGGUUUGGGUGGCGGACGGGUGAGUAACGCGUAAAGAACUUGCCUCACAGCUAGGGACAACAUUUGGAAACGAAUGCUAAUACCUGAUAUUAUGAUUUUAGGGCAUCCUAGAAUUAUGAAAGCUAUAUGCGCUGUGAGAGAGCUUUGCGUCCCAUUAGCUAGUUGGAGAGGUAACGGCUCACCAAGGCGAUGAUGGGUAGCCGGCCUGAGAGGGUGAACGGCCACAAGGGGACUGAGACACGGCCCUUACUCCUACGGGAGGCAGCAGUGGGGAAUAUUGGACAAUGGACCAAGAGUCUGAUCCAGCAAUUCUGUGUGCACGAUGAAGUUUUUCGGAAUGUAAAGUGCUUUCAGUUGGGAAGAAAAAAAUGACGGUACCAACAGAAGAAGUGACGGCUAAAUACGUG